Molecule: non-coding RNA, 24 nt
Filed under: Arabidopsis thaliana (thale cress)
Lineage: Eukaryota; Viridiplantae; Streptophyta; Magnoliopsida; Brassicales; Brassicaceae
Source: RNAcentral
GGGACUGGGUUGUAUGGUAGGAUG